UGUUAUAUGUGUCAUACGAGACUGCCGGUAAAAGCCGGAGGAAGGUGAGGAUGAUGUCAAGUCAGCAUGACCUUUAUAUCCAGGGCUACACACACGCUACAAUGGUCUGUACAAUGGGUAGCCAAGCCGCGAGGCGGAGCCAAUCCUGAAAGCAGGCCUCAGUUCAGAUUGCAGUCUGCAACUCGACUGCAUGAAGCCGGAGUUGCUAGUAACCGCAGGUCAGCAAUACUGCGGUGAAUACGUUCCCGGGUCUU
Molecule: ribosomal RNA, 254 nt
Filed under: uncultured Anaerolineaceae bacterium
Lineage: Bacteria; Bacillati; Chloroflexota; Anaerolineae; Anaerolineales; Anaerolineaceae
Description: partial 16S ribosomal RNA
Rfam family: Bacterial small subunit ribosomal RNA
Source: RNAcentral